RNAcentral lists this long non-coding RNA (1193 nucleotides) under Sinocyclocheilus anshuiensis. RNAcentral describes it as "lncRNA (ENSSANG00000037132.1)". The record is from RNAcentral. Lineage: Eukaryota; Metazoa; Chordata; Actinopteri; Cypriniformes; Cyprinidae.
CCACUUUUGGGCUUCAAAAACGCUCUUCAGAAACCUACGGGUGACGUCACGGACACUACGUCCAUGUUUUUAUACAGUCUAUGGUUUGCGUUAAAAAAAUAGAGCAAAACGCGAAACGCAGCAUAGAGACAAGGGUAAACAUCGCAGGGUCUUGAGGCCGUUUCAUGCGAGGAAGGGAGCUGUUGUGUUACACAGGAGAAAUCUGAAUCCGACCAGACCCCAAACAUUGCUCAGGCCUUGGCAGUGACUCCAGUACACACACAGACUAUAGGAGUCACCCUUGAACUCUGUUGGUACUGCUUGAAAUCUCUCCCGAUUGAAGACCAAAACAUACCUCAGUUGCAGGCAGAAAGUGAGGAUCUAACACUGCCCCCCAGUGGUGAGCGUUUGCACUACCAGCGAGACCCCAGGCCUCAUUUUGGAGUAGCCCACUCCUCUCGCUCUGUGUCUUUCCCCCUGUGGGACAGUGAUAGGCCGAGGGAGAUGAAGAUGGGAGAGGAGGAAGAGGAGGAGGAGACCGUGGAAUCUGUCAGCUGUUGUCCUCACUGCCACCUUGGGCUGCCACGUGAUACACUACGCUGGCAUGAGGCAAAAUGUCUGUUGUUUGAUGGACAGAGAAACAGUUUGUCUUAAUAAAACUGAGCAACUGUCGCUCCGUCUGUUGAUGGCUACCUAAAAUAAGCUAUGAAAUUGUUGAUAUUUUUGUUCAGUCUUAUUUUACCUGUUCAAGUUUUAAUAUAUUUGUUCAGUAAUAUAUUGUAAACAAUUUAAGGACUGGCCUGUUUGAAAUAAUAGAAUUGCCUUUCAAUAAUACAGUAUUACUGUUCUUUGAGGUCAAGAACAGCACUCAACUGUUUCACUGUUUCCAAGCGUAAUCCAAUUAUUUAUUUCAGCAUUACAUUACAUGCUUUUUCAUUUGUCAGCAGUGAGGAAAUCGAACCUUUCAAGAGUCAUGGAUUUCUUGUCUUUACUAUUCACUGUGGUGCUUAUUUUAGUCAUACUAUUAUAUGUUUGAAAUGAUGCUACUGCAUUAUGUGCAAUGUUGUCAAAUAGCAUUUACUAAGGAUGAAUAAGGAAUGUCAAAAAUGUACUGAAUUGCCCAAAGUUUGCUAGCAAUAUGAAAAACAUCAUUGUUAAAACUGUGUACACGUGUACAUUGAAAUUGUUUCAAAUAAAAAUGUAUACCACCUGGU